This 496-nucleotide ribosomal RNA is filed under the name Gastrotheca litonedis (Azuay marsupial frog). RNAcentral describes it as "partial 16S ribosomal RNA". It matches the Rfam family "Bacterial large subunit ribosomal RNA", at positions 1845 to 2542 of the family's 2925-position model. Lineage: Eukaryota; Metazoa; Chordata; Amphibia; Anura; Hemiphractidae. The record is from RNAcentral.
AUAAGAGGUCCAGCCUGCCCAGUGACACUGUUUAACGGCCGCGGUAUCCUAACCGUGCGAAGGUAGCGUAAUCACUUGUCCUUUAAAUAGGGACUAGUAUGAACGGCAUCACGAGGGUUAUACUGUCUCCUUUUUCUAAUCAGUGAAACUAAUCUCCCCGUGAAGAGGCGAGGAUAUAUCUAUAAGACGAGAAGACCCUAUGGAGCUUUAAACAAAACAACAUUUGCUAUAUCACCCAUCAAUUUCAGAAAAUUAAUUUUUAUUUUAGCACUAUGCUUGUUAGUUUUAGGUUGGGGUGACCGCGGAGAAAAAAGUAACCUCCACAUUGAAAGGGGCUCCCCCUAAGCAAAAAGCCACAACUUUAUGCAUCAACAAAUUGACAUCAAUUGACCCAAUAUUUUGAUCAACGAAACAAGUUACCCUAGGGAUAACAGCGCAAUCCACUUCGAGAGCCCAUAUCGACAAGUGGGUUUACGACCUCGAUGUUGGAUCAGGG